GAUGAACGCUGACAGCAUGCUUAACACAUGCAAGUCAACUGUGGCGGACGGGUGAGUAACGCGUAAAGAACUUGCCUCACAGCUAGGGACAACAUUUGGAAACGAAUGCUAAUACCUGAUACUGUGAGAGAGCUUUGCGUCCCAUUGGCUAGUUGGAGAGGUACCGGCUCACCAAGGCGAUGAUGGGUAGCCGGCCUGAGAGGGUGAUCGGCCACAAGGGGACUGAGACACGGCUCUUACUCCUACGGGAGGCAGCAGUGGGGAAUAUUGGACAAUGGACCAAAGUCUGAUACAGCAAUUCUGUUUGCACGAUGUAGUUUUCGGAAUGUAAAGUGUUUUCAGUUGGGAAGCGGUACCCACAGAAGAAGGGACGGCUAAAUCCGUGCCAGCAGCCGCGGUAAUAC
This 404-nucleotide ribosomal RNA is filed under the name uncultured bacterium. RNAcentral describes it as "partial 16S ribosomal RNA". It matches the Rfam family "Bacterial small subunit ribosomal RNA", at positions 28 to 526 of the family's 1533-position model. The record is from RNAcentral.